Molecule: ribosomal RNA, 889 nt
Filed under: uncultured Bacteroidota bacterium
Lineage: Bacteria; Pseudomonadati; Bacteroidota
Description: bacterial SSU rRNA
Rfam family: Bacterial small subunit ribosomal RNA
Source: RNAcentral
GAUGAACGCUAGCUACAGGCUUAACACAUGCAAGUCGAGGGGAAACGACAUCGAAGGCUUGCUUUUGAUGGGCGUCGACCGGCGCACGGGUGAGUAACGCGUAUCCAACCUGCCCAUCACUUGGGGAUAACCUUGCGAAAGUAAGACUAAUACCCAAUGACGUCUCUAGAAGACAUCUUAAAGAGAUUAAAGAUUUAUCGGUGAUGGAUGGGGAUGCGUCUGAUUAGCUUGUUGGCGGGGUAACGGCCCACCAAGGCGACGAUCAGUAGGGGUUCUGAGAGGAAGGUCCCCCACAUUGGAACUGAGACACGGUCCAAACUCCUACGGGAGGCAGCAGUGAGGAAUAUUGGUCAAUGGGCGAGAGCCUGAACCAGCCAAGUAGCGUGCAGGAUGACGGCCCUAUGGGUUGUAAACUGCUUUUAUAAGGGAAUAAAGUGAGUCUCGUGAGACUUUUUGCAUGUACCUUAUGAAUAAGGACCGGCUAAUUCCGUGCCAGCAGCCGCGGUAAUACGGAAGGUCCGGGCGUUAUCCGGAUUUAUUGGGUUUAAAGGGAGCGUAGGCCGGAGAUUAAGCGUGUUGUGAAAUGUAGACGCUCAACGUCUGCACUGCAGCGCGAACUGGUUUCCUUGAGUACGCACAAAGUGGGCGGAAUUCGUGGUGUAGCGGUGAAAUGCUUAGAUAUCACGAAGAACUCCGAUUGCGAAGGCAGCUCACUGGAGCGCAACUGACGCUGAAGCUCGAAAGUGCGGGUAUCGAACAGGAUUAGAUACCCUGGUAGUCCGCACGGUAAACGAUGGAUGCCCGCUGUUGGUCUGAAUAGGUCAGCGGCCAAGCGAAAGCAUUAAGCAUGCCACCUGGGGAGUACGCCGGCAACGGUGCAACUCAAAGG